This 435-nucleotide ribosomal RNA is filed under the name uncultured bacterium. RNAcentral's name for it is "partial 16S ribosomal RNA". It matches the Rfam family "Bacterial small subunit ribosomal RNA", at positions 28 to 507 of the family's 1533-position model. The record is from RNAcentral.
GAUGAACGCUGGCGGUAUGCUUAACACAUGCAAGCCGAACGGACUCUUCGGAGUUAGUGGCGGACGGGUGAGUAACGCGUGAGAAUCUGGCUUUGGGUUCGGGACAACCACUGGAAACGGUGGCUAAUACCGGAUGUGCCGAGAGGUAAAAGAGAAAUUGCCUGAAGAUGAGCUCGCGUCUGAUUAGCUAGUUGGUGAGGUAAAGGCUCACCAAGGCAGCGAUCAGUAGCUGGUCUGAGAGGAUGACCAGCCACACUGGGACUGAGACACGGCCCAGACUCCUACGGGAGGCAGCAGUGGGGAAUUUUCCGCAAUGGGCGAAAGCCUGACGGAGCAAUACCGCGUGAGGGAAGAAGGCUCUUGGGUUGUAAACCUCUUUUCUUAGGGAAGAACAAAAUGACGGUACCUAAGGAAUCAGCAUCGGCUAACUCCGUG